GGUUGGUGAGGUAAUGGCUCACCAAGGCGACGAUCCGUAGCUGGUCUGAGAGGAUGAUCAGCCACAUCGGGACUGAGACACGGCCCGAACUCCUACGGGAGGCAGCAGUGGGGAAUAUUGGACAAUGGGCGAAAGCCUGAUCCAGCCAUGCCGCGUGUGUGAAGAAGGCCCUCGGGUUGUAAAGCACUUUCAGUGAGGAAGAAGGCUUGUCGGUUAAUACCCGACAGGAAAGACAUCACUCACAGAAGAAGCACCGGCUAACUCCGUGCCAGCAGCCGCGGUAAUACGGAGGGUGCAAGCGUUAAUCGGAAUUACUGGGCGUAAAGCGUGCGUAGGCGGCUUGGUAAGCCGGUUGUGAAAGCCCCGGGCUCAACCUGGGAAUGGCAUCCGGAACUGUCAGGCUAGAGUGCAGGAGAGGAAGGUAGAAUUCCCGGUGUAGCGGUGAAAUGCGUAGAGAUCGGGAGGAAUACCAGUGGCGAAGGCGGCCUUCUGGACUGACACUGACGCUGAGGUACGAAAGCGUGGGUAGCAAACAGGAUUAGAUACCCUGGUAGUCCACGCCGUAAACGAUGUCGACUAGCCGUUGGGGUCCUUGAGACCUUUGUGGCGCAGUUAACGCACUAAGUCGACCGCCUGGGGAGUACGGCCGCAAGGUUAAAACUCAAAUGAAUUGACGGGGGCCCGCACAAGCGGUGGAGCAUGUGGUUUAAUUCGAUGCAACGCGAAGAACCUUACCUACCCUUGACAUCGUGCGAACUUGGUAGAGAUACCUUGGUGCCUUCGGGAGCGCACAGACAGGUGCUGCAUGGCUGUCGUCAGCUCGUGUUGUGAAAUGUUGGGUUAAGUCCCGUAACGAGCGCAACCCUUGUCCUUAUUUGCCAGCGAUUCGGUCGGGAACUCUAAGGAGACUGCCGGUGACAAACCGGAGGAAGGUGGGGACGACGUCAAGUCAUCAUGGCCCUUACGGGUAGGGCUACACACGUGCUACAAUGGCCGGUACAAUGGGUCGCAAAGCGGCGACGUGGAGCUAAUCCCAUAAAGCCGGUCUCAGUCCGGAUCGGAGUCUGCAACUCGACUCCGUGAAGUCGGAAUCGCUAGUAAUCGUGCAUCAGAAUGGCACGGUGAAUACGUUCCCGGGCCUUGUACACACCGCCCGUCACACCAUGGGAGUGGACUGCACCAGAAGUGGUUAGCCUAACUUCGGAGGGCGAUCACCACGGUGUGGUUCAUGACUGGGGUGAAGUCGUAACAAGGUAGCCGUAGGGGAACCUGCGGCUGGAUCACCUC
This 1287-nucleotide ribosomal RNA is filed under the name Halomonas sp. PV2. RNAcentral describes it as "bacterial SSU rRNA". It matches the Rfam family "Bacterial small subunit ribosomal RNA", at positions 247 to 1529 of the family's 1533-position model. Lineage: Bacteria; Pseudomonadati; Pseudomonadota; Gammaproteobacteria; Oceanospirillales; Halomonadaceae. The record is from RNAcentral.